RNA transcript from Acipenser ruthenus (sterlet), 9523 nucleotides. It is a transcript of the gene named girdin-like, with no coding region annotated. NCBI's taxonomy places the organism in Eukaryota, Metazoa, Chordata, Actinopteri, Acipenseriformes, Acipenseridae. The transcript is spliced from 33 exons. The record is from RefSeq and is a predicted model, not a curated record.
CCUUAGCAGAAAUCCCCAGGACGAGACUAUAAAAAGAGAGCAAGGGAAGCGUGUGUGUAUGACUGUAUCGGGGGUGUCGGGGAAGCUUUUUAUAAUAAAUAAUAAUAAUAAAAAAACGGAAGCAUUAUCCAGAGGUUUUAUUUAUUCCUCCAUCGUUAACAUUGUAAUACUGAUGAAAAGAACAAGUCUUAUUUCAAAGAAGAAAUAGGAGGCUGUAUAAUUUGAAUCGAUCUCAUCAUUUCUUUUGAAUAAAAAGGGCAAACCGUUUUUAUUCUGGUCUAAAAUACAUUUAUAAUAUUAGGCACUCCAAGACUGAUUUGUGGGGGAUGUGGUGUAUGAUUUUUUUUUUUUUUUUUUGUAAUUUGUAUUAGAUAAACUGCCGUUUCAGAAGAAGUGAGGAUAAUUAACCUGGUCGGUUUCAUUGGAAUUUAUCGCUUACUUUCAAAUACCAGACGCUACGUACACAGCAGAAAAAGGAGAUUUAUUUUUUUUGUUGCACCAAAUCUCAUAAUGUAUUUUGUCUUGGCUAAAAUGAUGUAGCUACUUACAGUCUUCCCGAAACAACAUUUACUUUAAGAAAAAAGUAAAAAUUAUAGGAAUGUAUUGAUCUUUUUUUUUGUUUGUUUGUUUUUUAAACGUUUAAUGAUAUGGAUGUGUCUAUUUCUACCAGCUGAAGGAGCACCUCUCAUAUUUUUUUCCAGUAAGGAGGAAGGCGACAUUUGGAGUAACACUGCAGAAAGUAGAACUGAGUUGUAUUUUUUGUUCUUACUGGGUGCAAAAAUGGAGAACGAAGUCUUUUCUCCACUCCUUGAGCAAUUUGUGCUCACCCCACUAGUAACUUGGGUGAAGACUUUUGGGCCUUUGGGUGGAAAAGAUGGGGGAAAACUUGCAGAAUACAUUGACUUAGUGGAUGGCAUCUAUUUAAAUGAGAUCAUGCUUCAGAUUAAUCCUAAAGCAACUGUCCAAAGAACAAACAAGAAGGUGAACAAUGAUGUGACACUCAGGAUACAAAAUCUAUCAAUUUUGGUACGGCAGAUCAAAUCAUAUUACCAGGAGACUUUACAGCAGUUAAUCAUGAUGCCCCUUCCAAAUGUCCUGGUGUUGGGUAGAAAUCCUCUCUCUGAACAAGGUCUGGAUGAAAUGAAGAAAUUCUUGUUACUUUUGCUUGGUUGUGCAGUUCAGUGUGAGAAAAAAGAAGAAUUCAUUGAGAAAAUCCAAACCUUAGAUUUUGACACAAAAGCUGCAAUUGCGUCCCACAUUCAAGAGGUGACUCACAAUCAGGAGAAUGUGUUUGACCUACAGUGGAUGGACAUUGUUGAUUUGUCCCAGGAGGACCUUGACUCUCUGUCCAGGAACAUGGCAUUACAUCUAAAACGAAUUGUUGAUGAGAGGGAUGAAUAUUCUGAGACAAUUGUAGAACUUUCCCAGGAACAGGAAUGUGGGCAUUUUUCACCCCAUGCACCAACAGCACAGUCACCCAAUGGAUCACCAAGCAUGCGUCGCACAGAAAGCAGACAACACUUGUCAGUGGAGCUGGCAGAUGCCAAGGCAAAAAUAAGAAGGCUUAGGCAAGAACUGGAAGAGAAGAGUGAGCAGCUGCUGGACUGUAGGCAAGAGUUGGAGCACAUGGAGACAGAGCUGAAACGGAUUCAGCAAGAGAGCAUGCUGUUGCUGGCAGAUGCCCGUUCAGCCAGAGCGUAUCGUGAUGAGCUGGAUGCUCUCAGAGAAAAGGCAAUUAGAGUUGACAAGCUUGAAAGUGAAGUCGGCCGGUACAAAGAAAGAUUACAUGACAUUGAAUUUUAUAAAGCCAGAGUUGAGGAAUUAAAGGAAGAUAACCAGGUUCUAUUGGAAACAAAGACCAUGUUGGAGGAUCAACUAGAAGGAUCUCGAGCCCGUUCUGACAAACUGCAUGAGCUAGAGAAAGAAAAUCUACAAAUAAAGGCAAAAAUACAUGAUUUGGAGAUGGAUCGUGAUAUUGACAGAAAGAAAAUCAAGGAUCUGUCAGAAGAAAACCUGGCACUGGAAAUGGCUCAAAAACAGAGUAUGGAUGAAUCAUUGCACCUUGGCUGGGAAUUAGAGCAGCUUUCCAAGACCACUGAGCACUCAGAAGUGCCUCAAAAAUCGUUGGGUCAUGAAGUUAAUGAAUUGACUUCAAGCCGAUUGCUUAAGCUGGAAAUGGAAAACCAGAGUCUUUUAAAAACUGUUGAAAAACUUAGAAUUACAACGGAUCCUUCAGAAGAUAGGAACUCGAGAUUCCUGGAGAAAGAAAAUCUGAGAUUAAGCAAAAAGUUGGAAAAGCUUGAGAAUGAAAUGAGCAUCGAGAAGCAAAGCCUGAGAAAUAUAGAAAAUCUGAGCAACGAUCUGAUGAAAGAGAAAGCUCAACUUGAAAAGACCAUUGAGACCCUUGGAGAAAACUCUGAAAGACAGGUGAAAGUAUUGGAGCAAGAAAAUGAACACUUAAAUCAAACCAUAUCCUCCCUAAGGCAACGUUCCCAAAUAAGUGCAGAGGCAAGAGUAAAGGACAUUGAAAAAGAGAACAAGAUCCUGCAUGAGUCAAUUAAAGAGACUAGCAGCAAGCUAAACAAGAUGGAGUUUGAAAGAAAACAGCUUCGAAAGGAGCUUGAACAUUAUAAAGAAAAGGGAGAAAGGGCUGAGGAGCUGGAGAAAGAGGUGCAUCGCCUAGACAGGGAAAAUGAACAGCUUCAGAAAAAAAUUACAGGCCUAACUAUCACCUGCGAUAAAGUGGAGGCACUGGAGCAAGAAAACUUAAAUUUAGAGGUUGAGAACAGAAAGUUAAAGAAGAAACUGGACAGCCUGAACAAUCUCAGCUUUCAGUUAGAGACGCUGGAAAAAGAAAACACACAGCUUGACGAAGAAAAUUUAGCUCUAAGAAGAACAGUAGAGUCAUUAAAGUCAUCCUGCAUCAAGGUGGCACAGCUGGAACUGGAAAACAAAGAGCUGGAAAAUGAAAAAUGGCAGUUAAAGAAAAGCCUGGAUCUGAUGAAAGCAUCUUCUAAGAAAACAGAACGCUUGGAGGUCAGCUGUCAAGGGCUCGAUACAGAAAACCAAUGGCUCCAAAAGGCACUGGAGAACAGCAACAAAAAGAUCCAGCAACUUGAAAGUGAACUCCAGGAUGUGGAGACUGAAAACCAAAGCUUGCAAAAAAGCCUGGAGGAGCUCAAAAUUUCAAGCAAACGCUUAGAGCAGUUAGAAAAAGAGAAUAAGAUACUGGAGCAAGAAACUUUGCAGCUAGAAAAAGACAAAAAACAACUGGAGAAAGAGAACAAGAGGCUUCGACAGCAGGCUGAGAUCAGAGACUUCACGCUUGAUGAAAACAACCUGAGAAUUAUCAACCUGGAGAAAGAUAAUAAGUCACUCACUAAAGAAAUGAAUGUUUUCAAAGAUUCAUGUGGACGAGUCAAAGACCUUGAAAAGGAAAACAAAGAGCUUGUAAAACAGGCCACAAUAGAUAAAAAGACUCUAGUAACCUUAAGAGAGGAUCUGGUGAGUGAGAAACUGAAGACUCAACAAAUGAAUAAUGAUCUUGAAAAACUGACACAUGAGCUGGAAAAAAUAGGAUUAAACAAAGAGAGACUCUUAGAUGAUGAACAAAGUACAGAAGACAGUAGAUAUAAGCUGCUGGAGUCCAAACUUGAGUCCACAUUGAAAAAGUCUCUUGACAUAAAAUUAGAAAAGAUUGCUGCCCUUGAAGCCCGCUUGCAGGAAUCUUCAAACCUGAACCAGCAGCUUCGCCAGGAACUCAAAACCGUUAAAAAGAACUAUGAAGCACUUAAGCAGAGAGAGGAAGAGGAACGUAUGAUGCAGAGCUCUCCACCCAGAGCGGGUGAAGAAACCCAGACUGUCAGUAAAUGGGAGGAGAGUCACGAAGCCACUCGGGAGCUUCUAAAGGUCAAAGACAGGCUAAUUGAGGUGGAAAGGAAUAAUGCUACGCUCCAAGCAGAAAAACAGGCCCUGCGGACACAGCUAAAACAGUUGGAGAGCCAGAGUGAUAAUCUACUGGCACAGAUCCUAGCACUCCAGAGACAAACAGCCACUUUACAAGAGCAUAACACUACAUUACAGACACAGAGUGCUAAACUGCAGGUGGAGAAUUCAACUCUAAACUCACAAAGUGCAUCACUGAUGACCCAGAACUCGCAACUUCAGUUUCAGCACUCCACCAUUGAAAGUGAUAAUGAAUCCCUAAUCAAAGAAAAAGAAGAGCUAAAAUCCAUGUAUGACUUGCUGGUAAAAGAUCACGAGAAACUAGCGGCCCUCCAUGAACACCAGGCAGCAGAGUAUGAAUCUCUCAUCAAUAAACAUGGCAGCCUUAAAUCAGUCCACAAAAACCUAGAAGUGGAGCACAAGGACCUUGCGGACAGGUACAAUCACCUACUCAAGCAAAAGGCCCAAUUGGAAGAGCUGGAGAAGGUCUUGAAAGCAGAGCAGGAGAAAAUGCUCUUAGAAAAGAAGAGCCAUGAAACUACAGCUGCAGAGUAUCAGAACCUGCGAGAUGAAAAUGACAAGCUGAAUCACACAUAUUGCCAAUUACUGAAAGAGAAUGAAGGACUGCAGGCUGACCACAAGAAUAUCAAAGGUUUACUGAAUAGCGCAACGCUUGAGCAAACCCGACUGGAAGCAGAAUUUUCCAAGUUAAAGGAACAGUAUCAGCAGCUAGAUAUUACAUACACCAAACUGAACAAUCAGUGUGAGUUGCUGAGUCAGCUAAAGGGAAAUCUGGAAGAAGAAAACAGACAUCUGUUAGAUCAAAUCCAGACUCUGAUGCUUCAGAAUAGAACCCUGCUGGAGCAAACUAUGGAAAGCAAGGAUCUGUUCCAUGUCGAACAGAGACAGUACAUAGACAAGCUGAAUGAGCUCAGGAGGCAGAAGGAGAAGCUGGAAGAGAAGAUCAUGGACCAGUACAAAUUUUAUGACCCUUCUCCUCCAAGGAGAAGGGGUAACUGGAUCACCCUGAAGAUGAAAAAAUUGAUAAAACCCAAAAACCGUGAACGUAUUAAGUCUCUGACACUCACUCCGUCACAGUCUGAAUCAAGUGACGGCUUCCUGAACUUACCCCAGCAAGACAGUCAGGAUAGCUCCUCGGUGGGAUCUGGCUCCAAUUCCCUUGAUGACAGCCUGUCUUUUGGGAAUAAGAAGAGCAGCCUGGCUGCAGUGAAAAGGUUGCCCUUUAUGAGGAACAGACCGAAGGAAAAAGACAAAAUGAAGGCCAUCUACCGUCGUUCCAUGUCCAUGAAUGACCUGUUGCAAACCAUGGUCCAGGCAGGAGGACAGUGGACAGAUAGUUCUGAGAAUCUGGAUGAGCCUGAUGAUGCUGCUACCAGGCUGAGGAGGAAGGAACUGGGAGCUAUGGCGUACUCCACAACAGCAAUCAACUAUGCUACACUGAACUCUUCUGCUGGCCUCAGAUCCAAGCACAGGCAUAAGUCGAAAGACAAUGCAUCUUGUGAAGAUGUUGCGCCUCGGGUCACAGAUGAAUCUAGUAAUGUUUUAAGAAUUCAUGGGGUGCACAAUACUAGCUGUACAGAUGCUAUUGCUUCUCCUGUCCUUGGUACUUCUACAAUGUGCAAAAUUCCUUGUGACAUCUGUUCUUCCAGACCAGUCAGCUUUGAUAGUUGCAAGACAACCAGUAGUAACAGCAAUAAUAAUGCUUUGUCUAAUGAUGCUAAAGCAAGUGCACUAAAUGGCGGCCACAGCAGGCCCCUUAGUCAAAGCAGUGGUGAAUUUAGUCUGAGCCUUGAUAAUGAAGUGUGGUCAAGCAGCAGCAGUCCUGUCCAGCAGACUGGUCAGCUUUCUCAAAGAUCUUCAAAACAGAGUCCUUUGCUCGUUCAGAAAACACUGGACAUUCCAUCUCAGCAGAAAAGAAAAGCUGCUUCCCCUGGAAGUGAAGUAGUCACUUUGCAACAGUUUUUGGAAGAGAGCAACGUGCAUUCACCAACAAAUUCUGGUAGCCAGGAGAACCUUGUGGAUGAGACCAUGAGGCGGGUCAGUGAUUCUUCAAAACCAGCAGGAAGAGUGAAGGCACCCAGGAACUCCUCUAGCAGCCGCGGAAUUUUGAGAUCAUCAAGCGACAGAACCACGGUGGAUUUCACAGAUGGCAGGCCUCCCAAACCUGGACAGAUAGUCAGACCUAGCCUUAGAAAGGCAGAAAGCACACGUAUUAAAAGUACAGCUGUUAAACCUACAUUAAGCGCUCAGGGAAAAGCCACAUCUCUUGCUGAAAAGUUAGACAUUAUGAAGCAGAAACCGACACAGAGAGAUUGCAGCACUUUUUCUACCUUACCACGUGCCAGCAGUGUGAUCUCGACGGCUGAAGGCUCCACCAGGAAGACAAGCAUUCAUGACUUUAUGUCCAAAGACACUAGACAACCAGUAUCUGUUGAUCCUUCCCCAACUAAGGCUACUAAUAGAAGCAACCAACAAGCAACCAGUGAGUACCACUUAGACCGCCAUCCCCAGUUCCCUCAUCAUGUACCUUACCAAAACCCUUCAGAGCCAAUUCUGCAGAAAUGUAGCCAAUCCAGUUCACUUGGUUGUGGUCAUUCUCCAGUUAUGGAAGGAGCAUAUACAGGGAAUAGAGGUCAAAAAGCAUCAAGUUCUAAAUCAUUGUUUGGUUCAACUUUUACAGUUGAUUCUGUGUUCAUUGACUCUGUAGAACCACACAGUGACAGUGUAGCUUCCUUCAUCACUACCAGUGCAAGUCAGCCAUUCUUAUCUUUAAACACAUCCUUAGUUAGUAACAUAAGUGGUCUGCCGCUAAGGGCCACUCCAAGACCUACUGACGUAGCUUUUGUGUCACCUGUUAAAGCAGUGCUGAACGAGUAUAGUGUACAGGAUUCUAGCCCUGAGAAUGCUCUCCCCACUGGUGAGCCUACUAAUGCAGAACAUGUGAACAUUAACAAUGAGUCUGGGUCACCAGAAUUAUCUUCUGAAGACAAUCAGUCCCUGUGGUAUGAGUAUGGCUGUGUUUGAACCACACAAAUGUGUAUUUACAGGAAAUUGUAGACACCUUGAACUUAUAUAGCAGUACAGGUUAAAGCAAAAUAUCUACAUUGUUUUUUUAUAAUAGAUGGAAGUUGCAUGUUAGGGACUUCUCUAUGCUUUUGUUUGUAUACUGAGGUAGGUUAUGUAGGCUUAUUUUCAAGGUAUUGCUUACCACAUUGCAUGCGUUAUAAAUGAUUUUCACACUUUCAGCUGAGACUUGUAAUUGUUAAUAUUCUUAAAACUUUUGCACUAUUGUCAAAACUUUUUUGGAUGUUUGUUUUGUAAUAUACAGUAUCUGCUAAUAUAGUUCCAUAGAUUAUUUUUAUUAAACACAGGACUUUGGGGUUACCAAUGCAUGUGCAGUAGACACUUUCAUAUUAAUUGUUUAAAAUUACUAUUUUUAAAACCAUACACUGUUUAUAUGUAAAAAAUGUUAUAUAUGACUUGUAAAACAUUUUUGAGGGAUAUGUUUAAAGAGCUUCUAUAAAAUGUUGAACGAUAGACAGUGACAUAUCCCUUCUACAGUCUAAUUACUUAAAGACAUAAUAGAAAAGUUGAAAAUGUUACUACAAAGGUUGCAUAUAAGAAAUUAAGCAACAGGCACCUUUAAUAUAAUCCACAUAAAAUCUGCACACAGCCAUUUUCUAUUUCAAGCUUUGGUCUAAGUCAAAAAAUGUAAAUCUGUAAAUUAAUCCAAAACUUCACCAAAUGCCCUAUACUAUCAGAUCCCACAAAUAAUGACUAAAACAAACAAUAAAGAUACAUGUACUGUGUGGUUUUUUAUCUAUCUAACUAGAAAAGCAGUGUUCAUAUUUUAACAUUACUGGUACAUAGGUUACAUGUCCUUUAGUUUAUAAGAAGUAAAAGAAAUAUAAGACAGUAAAAUAAACAUGUAAUUAGCCAAAUUUUCCACGUUUUAUUUAUCUAAAACCAAAAACCUUUGAAAAAUGACAGAUAAUUUGUACUUCAUAAUGGCAUUCAGAUAGUUAUCUUUUUAAUUUAAUAUAUCCCUAUUAAAAGUAAUAGUAUGUGCUAAAUCUAAAUGAAAACACACAUAUUCUGAUAUGCAGUGGAUGUAUUAAUAAAAGUCUUAAUUGUGUGAAGAUAUGUAGAUGUGUGGCACUGUGUUUUGCAUGUUUUAUGUCUGCAUGUCUGGUACUCUUGCUGCUUUAAAUAACUAUUUUGUCUCUUAUGUAAAUCCUGAGUUACUAUUUUGAUCCUUUAGAUCAAAUCAGUUUAUGUGUGGGAACAACAUGCACUGUCAUAUGAAAAAUCAGUAGCAUUGAAUGUUGUAUGGCAAAAAUGUAUGUUGAUAUGCAUAAAACAAGUUUUAUGUUGUUAUUUUAUUUGUAAACUUGACUUUUGAAGUUUCCUUGCAUUUUGUACAUGAUAGCAUUUAAAGUUAGAAAAACAUGCCAGUAACUGAACAACAUACCUAAUGUCAGUUACAACGGAGCAUAGAUUAUGUAAUUGUGCAUGUAAUUUGUCUAUUACUGUACUGAUUAUGUAUGGUGCAGACUAAUAUCGAUCCCAUUGUAUUCAGAAAUAAUACGAAAUGCCUUUUUUCUGCAGAUGUGAAAAGUUUACAAGAGCACAGAAAAUCAAAAAGCAGAACUGGGGAGCAACAUAGCUCCUAAACAUAGCCACCUACCACCAACAAAGUGGGCUAAGUGAGAGAAAAGUGGCCUUCAAGCUGUCAUUUUGAAGCCUUUAGUUCUGGUCUACUGAGACUCGUCACUUGUGUAAAGCUAACAAAUCUUUUAAGAACCUUUCGUCAGUAGAAAAUGUUAGAGACACCAUAACUUUCCUUGAAUCAAGGAGCAAUGUUGGACUCCAUUAAAAAAGUAAUGAGAUGCAUUUCUUUGGACUGAAGAACUUUUAAGACAAGUUGCACUGCUACCUGGAUUUCAAAAAAACAGUGAUGUACAUUUUAAGGACCAAUAUUCUGUAACCGUGCCGAGCUCAACUCCUGGGGAAGAAAACAUUUUAAAUUUUUCAUGGAUCCUGAAGAAUUAGUCAUAUUUUAUGUAUAUCAUUUGCUUUUAAAUAGCCAGACUGUUUAACAGUUUAUUAUUAGCUUUCUUGUAAAUGAGAAGAAUGUAUACACUUGCAAUGUUGUGGAACCUGCUAACUCUGCAUUACCUACACAAACCUAUUGGCAUGGGGGCACUACCUUAUGAGUUUAUCACGAUCUGCAUGAAGCAAUCAAGACGUCUCUAGGACAAAGCUGUGCUAUGAAUCUUAUUAUCAUACUUUUUGCAAGACAUACCAAAAUAACACUAUAAUAAUAAAAAAGAAAUUACUUUAUCAAUGCUUUACUAAAGUUGGACACUUGCUGUAAAGGUUGUAGGUGAUGAAGUGUUUGAAAAUCUGGAAAGAAUCUUAUGUAAACAGAAUUUCCUGAUAGAAGAAUCAGUGGUAUUCCCAUGAUCUGGAUAAGCAUUUCACUUUUAAUGACUGCUUAUGUAUAGUUAAUUUCCUUUUCCACUUUUACAUAAAGGCAUUUGAUGUGGGUAAUGAC